This 254-nucleotide ribosomal RNA is filed under the name uncultured bacterium. Its description in RNAcentral is "partial 16S ribosomal RNA". It matches the Rfam family "Bacterial small subunit ribosomal RNA", at positions 524 to 776 of the family's 1533-position model. The record is from RNAcentral.
UACGUAGGGUGCGAGCGUUGUCCGGAAUUAUUGGGCGUAAAGAGCUCGUAGGCGGUGUGUCACGUCGGCCGUGAAAACCUGCAGCUUAACUGUGGGCGUGCGGUCGAUACGGGCAUCACUGGAGUUCGGCAGGGGAGUCUGGAAUUCCUGGUGUAGCGGUGAAAUGCGCAGAUAUCAGGAGGAACACCGGUGGCGAAGGCGGGACUCUGGGCCGAUACUGACGCUGAGGAGCGAAAGCGUGGGGAGCGAACAGG